GAAUCCAAAAGUUGAAAUCGUCGCUUGGCUCUACAAAGCGAGAAAUUAAUUGUUAAAGUCGAUGGCAAUUUAGGUUAGGAAAUCUGUCACGGAGCGAGCGAAGACCGGUGGUGGCGUCGGAGUCGAUGGAAGAUGGAGGGAGACUCAAAAGGAGUUAGUCGACAGCCAGAGGGGAGACUGGGGCUUGAGAGAAGAAGAGCAGGGGAGUCAUUGUCGAGACACCGUCGAAGUAUAGUCGAUUGCCUGUUGAAUCGUUUCGAGAAUUACUGUCGAGCUUGAGAGUUUUGUAUAACGUGCGACGAGUUUUUCAUUGUAGUCGAUCUUUGUCUUAAAUAUAGUCAUUUAUUUCUUAUA
Harpegnathos saltator (Jerdon's jumping ant) is the source of this 354-nucleotide long non-coding RNA. RefSeq lists it as uncharacterized. The transcript is spliced from 2 exons. The record is from RefSeq and is a predicted model, not a curated record. NCBI's taxonomy places the organism in Eukaryota, Metazoa, Arthropoda, Insecta, Hymenoptera, Formicidae.